GAUCAGGGGGACCUGAUGCAGCCAUGCCGCGUGUGUGAAGAAGGCCUUCGGGUUGUAAAGCACUUUCAGUUGUGAGGAAAAGUUAGUAGUUAAUACCUGCUAGCCGUGACGUUAACAACAGAAGAAGCACCGGCUAACUCCGUGCCAGCAGCCGCGGUAAUACGGAGGGUGCGAGCGUUAAUCGGAAUUACUGGGCGUAAAGCGCACGCAGGCGGUUUGUUAAGCUAGAUGUGAAAGCCCCGGGCUCAACCUGGGAUGGUCAUUUAGAACUGGCAGACUAGAGUCUUGGAGAGGGGAGUGGAAUUCCAGGUGUAACGGUGAAAUGCGUAGAUAUCUGGAGGAACAUCAGUGGCGAAGGCGACUCCCUGGCCAAAGACUGACGCUCAUGUGCGAAAGUGUGGGUAGCGAACAGGAUUAGAUACCCUGGUAGUCCACACCGUAAACGCUGUCUACUAGCUGUGUGUGUCUUUAAGACGUGCGUAGCGAAGCUAACGCGCUAAGUAGACCGCCUGGGGAGUACGGCCGCAAGGUUAAAACUCAAAGAAAUUUGACGGA
This 555-nucleotide ribosomal RNA is filed under the name uncultured bacterium. Its description in RNAcentral is "bacterial SSU rRNA". It matches the Rfam family "Bacterial small subunit ribosomal RNA", at positions 370 to 917 of the family's 1533-position model. The record is from RNAcentral.